Long non-coding RNA from Pseudomyrmex gracilis, 841 nucleotides. RefSeq lists it as uncharacterized. The record is from RefSeq and is a predicted model, not a curated record. NCBI's taxonomy places the organism in Eukaryota, Metazoa, Arthropoda, Insecta, Hymenoptera, Formicidae. The transcript is spliced from 4 exons.
CUCGCGCCAAGUUUACGCGCAACGAAAUAGUGCCAUAUGAAGUGGUUGUUUUUGUUCCUGUUCAUUUUAAAAUAUGUAUAAAAAACAUGUAAUCGCUAUAUAAUCGCUACUUUUGUAAUACACUUCGUUUUUUACGUUCUUUAACUUUCGUAAAAUAUGUUCUUUUGCUUGGUAUUGUAAACGUGUUACGAGGUUAUGUAUUGGACAAAUAUGUGUGACAAUUAGUAUAUCCAUAGCACAUUUGCUGUAUCCUUUGUUAAUAAAGAAGAAGAAUAAUAAAGAAAAGAAAUAUUGGUCAAAGAAAUCUGGUAAACUAGUAAUAACUAGAAAAUCUGCAAGACAUGAAAUAAUAGUGCCUAAGCAGUGUGUAUCUGUUUACAAGACAUACCUACAAAUAGAAAAAGCUAUCUUUGUCCAUAGCAGUUUUUUGCUGUAUCCUUUGUUAUAAUUAAUAAUGAAAAAGAAUAAGAAGAAAAGAAAAAAUCUGGAAAAGUAGUAACUAGAAAACCUGCAAGACUUGAAAUAAUAAUGGUUUUGUAAUUAUUAAGGAAAAUGUGAACUAUUAAAUGGCCAGCAUGCUUAAAACUACAAAAACCUUUAGGGAAAAAAGGAACGAGAGGCGGAAAUAAAAGAAGAUAACGUGGAUCCAAUCCAAAAUCGCAGCCGCAGCCGCGGCCGUGGUUCUCGUGGCAGCAGUCUUCAAAAUGUUUUUAAUUUCUGUUAAUUGUGUUAUAUCUUUUAUUAUCAUCUCACUCGUCACUCUUCUCUUUACUUAGUUUUUUUGUCCGGCAAAAAAACAUUUAUAUAUAAACGUUUACUUUGUAAAGUAUCAAGCCAUACU